Molecule: ribosomal RNA, 253 nt
Filed under: uncultured bacterium
Lineage: Bacteria
Description: partial 16S ribosomal RNA
Rfam family: Bacterial small subunit ribosomal RNA
Source: RNAcentral
UACGAAGGGGGCUAGCGUUGCUCGGAAUUACUGGGCGUAAAGGGCGCGUAGGCGGACAGCUUAGUCAGAGGUGAAAGCCCAGGGCUCAACCUUGGAAUUGCCUUUGAUACUGGCUGUCUUGAGUUUGGGAGAGGUGUGUGGAACUCCGAGUGUAGAGGUGAAAUUCGUAGAUAUUCGGAAGAACACCAGUGGCGAAGGCGACACACUGGCCCAAUACUGACGCUGAGGCGCGAAAGCGUGGGGAGCAAACAGG